GCUCUGUGAGCAUGUAUCUUCUUCAGCUUUCAUUUUUUUUUUCUUGGCACCAAAAAGGUAUAUCCUUUUCGAAGCCAUGUCACCGUCACUCCUCAAUCGCCACCAAGAAUUCUACAUCUUGGUCGCCACUGACUGUUGGCUGAGGUGCUUGACGUGGUAACGCAGCGUAAGCCUCAGUUUGACGUGAGCAAGGCACGAUAAUAUGACCAAAACAAUCUGGCAACACUGACUGCUGCCUGACAAGUUACCAGUCAGUGGGUGGUGUUAGUACGCGUCAGUUUCAACUCCUAGCCUGACGGAAUUUGUUUUUAUUUUAUUUUAUUUUAUUUUAUUUUUGUGUGUGUGUGUGUGUGUGUGUAACCACGCCUACACAGUGGCUGCCAAGGCUUACCCAUGAGUUAAACCUUCUUUAGUUGGUAAUGAGGAAGGCGUGGGCUCUAGCAGUGGACACCCGAAGGCAGCAGUGGGUGAAAACAAGCAAAAUAAAGAAAAGUUUGGCUGUGAGAAGGUGCUAGACAGCCAGCCAUAGUGACGAGGAGGCAGGAAGGAAGAUAACCACCACAGGGAAGCCAACCUGCUCCAAUGAAGUGAUCAAGAAAUUCAUAGCCAGGUGACCACUACAUGAAGUACUGGAAAAGAAUGAUGUCAGUGAAGGAAGGAGACCAGGCAGCCUGAAGAAAAGUGGUGGAAGGACUGCAUAUGUACAGGACAGCAAGAGAAUGGGAAAGAGGGAGAGAAUGAGGAUCAGCAAUUAUGCUAUAAAUGUGGGAAGAAAUUAAGAGCACCUUAUUUCUGCUGCUGCAUACAAAGAAACAUCCACCUGAUAAAUAUAAGUGCAUUUGGGAUAAAGAUUCAGCUUAGUGUAUAUAAAAUAGUCUAUAUUUGUCAGCUUAUAAAUGUGUUGUAAAGAAUGUAAAAAGAAAAGUAGAUACAUUGCUGAAGACAGAACAACUGGACAACUGUGAAACAUUCAAGUAAUCAAAAAUAGUAGUGAAUGUGCCAGAACAUAAAAUACUAACAUAAUGUAAUGUGCUAAAAAUAACAAACUUUGCUGUGAACAAGACAAUAAAAAUUUCUGAAUA
Long non-coding RNA from Scylla paramamosain (green mud crab), 1082 nucleotides. RefSeq lists it as uncharacterized. The record is from RefSeq and is a predicted model, not a curated record. The transcript has 2 exons. Lineage: Eukaryota; Metazoa; Arthropoda; Malacostraca; Decapoda; Portunidae.